GUGCCAGCAGCCGCGGUAAGACGAACCGUGCGAACGUUGUUCGGAAUCACUGGGCUUAAAGGGCGCGUAGGCGGGCUGCCAAGUCCGGGGUGAAAUCUUUCGGCCCAACCGGAAAAGUGCCUUGGAUACUGGCGGCCUGGAGGGAGGCAGGGGCGGAUGGAACUUCCGGUGGAGCGGUGAAAUGCGUUGAUAUCGGAAGGAACGCCGGUGGCGAAAGCGAUCCGCUGGACCUCUUCUGACGCUGAGGCGCGAAAGCCAGGGGAGCAAACGGGAUUAGAUACCCUCGUAGUCC
This 292-nucleotide ribosomal RNA is filed under the name uncultured bacterium. Its description in RNAcentral is "partial 16S ribosomal RNA". It matches the Rfam family "Bacterial small subunit ribosomal RNA", at positions 505 to 796 of the family's 1533-position model. The record is from RNAcentral.